Molecule: long non-coding RNA, 404 nt
Organism: Solea solea (common sole)
Lineage: Eukaryota; Metazoa; Chordata; Actinopteri; Pleuronectiformes; Soleidae
Exons: 2
Source: RefSeq, a predicted model, not a curated record
UCUGGGUGCAACAAGCCUUUGCUCUGUACCUGCCCUCUGUGAGGGGGGCGGGGUCAAGAAGCCAGCUGCCUGAAUCUGAACAGACCGUGACCCAGAGACGAAGAAAAAGAUUAAUGACACUGUAUCGGAAUUAUGUCCAAAAGACUGAAGCCAUCCGGCGCCCAAGGAAGGAAAAGAAGGAAAGAAGAGGAAGAGAAACGUGAAAAAGAUAGAGAUGCACUUUUAAAAUAUUUCAGUACCACCCCAGUGACACAGCAUCAGGUGCUGCUGUCCCGUCUACCUCUGCACAGCCCAGUGACACAGCAUCAGGUGCUCCUGUCCUUUUUAAUUUUAUCACUUGUUUCUUUCUUUAGUUUUUAUUUGGUGUGAUAUUUUUUACUCAAAGAAAUAAAAUCUUGAAUACA